RNAcentral lists this ribosomal RNA (497 nucleotides) under uncultured bacterium. Its description in RNAcentral is "partial 16S ribosomal RNA". It matches the Rfam family "Bacterial small subunit ribosomal RNA", at positions 28 to 507 of the family's 1533-position model. The record is from RNAcentral.
GACGAACGCUGGCGGCGUGCCUAAUACAUGCAAGUUGAGCGCUGAAGGUUGGUUCUUGUACCAAUUGGAUGAGCAGCGAACGGGUGAGUCACGCGUGUGGAAUUUGUCUUUGAGCUGGGCACAACAUUUCGAGACCUAUUCUAAUACCGCAUAAAAACUUUAAACACAAGUUUUAAGUUUGAAAGAUGCAUUUGCAUCACUCAAAGAUGAUUCCGCGUUGUAUUAGCUAGUUGGGGAGGUAAACGCUCACCAAGGCGGUGAUACAUAGCCGACCUGGUGAGGGGGUCGGCUAAAGUGGGACUGAGAAACUGCUCAAACCCCUUCGGGGGGCAGGAAUAGGGGAAUAUCGGAAAUGGACGAAAAUCUGAACGAGCAAAGGCGCGGGAGUGAAAAAAGUUUUCGGAUCGUAAAAGUAUGUUGAGAGAGGAGAACGUGGGGGAGAGUGGAAACCUGAUCAAGUGACGGUAACUACCCAGAAAGGGACGGCUAACUACGUG